This 250-nucleotide ribosomal RNA is filed under the name uncultured bacterium. RNAcentral describes it as "partial 16S ribosomal RNA". It matches the Rfam family "Bacterial small subunit ribosomal RNA", at positions 524 to 773 of the family's 1533-position model. The record is from RNAcentral.
UACGGAGGGCGCAAGCGUUGUUCGGAAUUACUGGGCGUAAAGCGCGUGUAGGCGGUCUGGUAAGUCGGUUGUGAAAUCCCCGGGCUCAACCCGGGAACUGCAUCCGAAACUUCCAGGCUAGAGUUCCGGAGAGGAAGGCAGAAUUCCCAAUGUAGGGGUGAAAUCCGUAGAUAUUGGGAGGAAUACCAGUGGCGAAGGCGGCCUUCUGGACGGUGACUGACGCUGAGACGCGAAAGCGUGGGGAGCAAAC